Molecule: ribosomal RNA, 208 nt
Filed under: uncultured bacterium
Lineage: Bacteria
Description: partial 16S ribosomal RNA
Rfam family: Bacterial small subunit ribosomal RNA
Source: RNAcentral
CGCGUAGGCGGCUUUGUAAGUCGGAUGUGAAAUCCCCGGGCUUAACCUGGGAACUGCAUUCGAUACUGCAUAACUAGAGUAUGGUAGAGGGAAGUGGAAUUUCCGGUGUAGCGGUGAAAUGCGUAGAUAUCGGAAGGAACACCAGUGGCGAAGGCGACUUCCUGGGCCAAUACUGACGCUGAGGUGCGAAAGCGGUGGGGAGCAAACA